Molecule: ribosomal RNA, 537 nt
Filed under: uncultured Mycobacterium sp.
Lineage: Bacteria; Bacillati; Actinomycetota; Actinomycetes; Mycobacteriales; Mycobacteriaceae
Description: bacterial SSU rRNA
Rfam family: Bacterial small subunit ribosomal RNA
Source: RNAcentral
CAUGCAAGUCGAACGGAAAGUGCUCUUCGGAGUGACUCGAGUGGCGAACGGGUGAGUAACACGUGGGUGAUCUGCCCUGCACUUUGGGAUAAGCCUGGGAAACUGGGUCUAAUACCGGAUAGGACCACAUGCUUCAUGGUGUGUGGUGGAAAGCUUUUGCGGUGUGGGAUGGGCCCGCGGCCUAUCAGCUUGUUGGUGGGGUAAUGGCCUACCAAGGCGACGACGGGUAGCCGGCCUGAGAGGGUGACCGGCCACACUGGGACUGAGAUACGGCCCAGACUCCUACGGGAGGCAGCAGUGGGGAAUAUUGCACAAUGGGCGCAAGCCUGAUGCAGCGACGCCGCGUGAGGGAUGACGGCCUUCGGGUUGUAAACCUCUUUCAAUAGGGACGAAGCGCAAGUGACGGUACCUAUAGAAGAAGGACCGACCAACUACGUGCCAGCAGCCGCGGUAAUACGUAGGGUCCGAGCGUUGUCCGGAAUUACUGGGCGUAAAGAGCUCGUAGGUGGUUUGUCGCGUUGUUCGUGAAAACUCACA